AUUGAACGCUGGCGGCAUGCCUUACACAUGCAAGUCGAACGGCAGCACGGGAGCAAUCCUGGUGGCGAGUGGCGAACGGGUGAGUAAUAUAUCGGAACGUGCCCAGUCGUGGGGAUAACGUAGAGAAAUUUACGCUAAUACCGCAUACGAUCUAAGGAUGAAAGCGGGGGGAUUCGCAAGAACCUCGCGCGAUUGGAGCGGCUGAUAUCAGAUUAGGUUGUUGGUGAGGUAAAAGCUCACCAAGCCGACGAUCUGUAGCUGGUUUGAGAGAACGACCAGCCACACUGGGACUGAGACACGGCCCAGACUCCUACGGGAGGCAGCAGUGGGGAAUUUUGGACAAUGGGCGCAAGCCUGAUCCAGCAAUGCCGCGUGCAGGAUGAAGGCC
This 388-nucleotide ribosomal RNA is filed under the name uncultured bacterium. Its description in RNAcentral is "bacterial SSU rRNA". It matches the Rfam family "Bacterial small subunit ribosomal RNA", at positions 30 to 416 of the family's 1533-position model. The record is from RNAcentral.